RNAcentral lists this ribosomal RNA (469 nucleotides) under Enterobacter hormaechei. RNAcentral's name for it is "bacterial SSU rRNA". It matches the Rfam family "Bacterial small subunit ribosomal RNA", at positions 36 to 500 of the family's 1533-position model. The record is from RNAcentral. Lineage: Bacteria; Pseudomonadati; Pseudomonadota; Gammaproteobacteria; Enterobacterales; Enterobacteriaceae.
CUGGCGGCAGCCUAACACAUGCAAGUCGAACGGUAACAGGAGCAGCUUGCUGCUUUGCUGACGAGUGCGGACGGGUGAGUAAUGUCUGGGAAACUGCCUGAUGGAGGGGGAUAACUACUGGAAACGGUAGCUAAUACCGCAUAACGUCGCAAGACCAAAGAGGGGGACCUUCGGGCCUCUUGCCAUCGGAUGUCCCAGAUGGGAUUAGCUAGUAGGUGGGGUAACGGCUCACCUAGGCGACGAUCCCUAGCUGGUCUGAGAGGAUGACCAGCCACACUGGAACUGAGACACGGUCCAGACUCCUACGGGAGGCACAGUGGGGAAUAUUGCACAAUGGGCGCAAGCCUGAUGCAGCCAUCCGCGUGUAUGAAGAAGGCCUUCGGGUGUAAAGUACUUUUCAGCGGGGAGGAAGGCGAUAAGGUAAUAACCUUGUCCGAUUGACGUUACCCGCAGAAGAAGCACCGCUACA